This 72-nucleotide transfer RNA is filed under the name Deutzianthus tonkinensis. RNAcentral describes it as "tRNA-Gln". It matches the Rfam family "tRNA". From Rfam's summary of the family: Transfer RNA (tRNA) molecules are approximately 80 nucleotides in length. Their secondary structure includes four short double-helical elements and three loops (D, anti-codon, and T loops). Lineage: Eukaryota; Viridiplantae; Streptophyta; Magnoliopsida; Malpighiales; Euphorbiaceae. The record is from RNAcentral.
UGGGGCGUGGCCAAGUGGUAAGGCAACGGGUUUUGGUCCCGCUAUUCGGAGGUUCGACUCCUUCCGUCCCAG